UACGGAGGGAGCUAGCGUUGUUCGGAUAUACUGGGCGUAAAGCGCACGUAGGCGGCGUCGUAAGUCAGGGGUGAAAUCCCGGGGCUCAACCCCGGAACUGCCCUUGAAACUGCAGUGCUAGAAUCUUGGAGAGGCGAGUGGAAUUCCGAGUGUAGAGGUGAAAUUCGUAGAUAUUCGGAAGAACACCAGUGGCGAAGGCGACUCGCUGGACAAGUAUUGACGCUGAGGUGCGAAAGCGUGGGGAGCAAACAGG
This 253-nucleotide ribosomal RNA is filed under the name uncultured bacterium. Its description in RNAcentral is "partial 16S ribosomal RNA". It matches the Rfam family "Bacterial small subunit ribosomal RNA", at positions 524 to 776 of the family's 1533-position model. The record is from RNAcentral.